UAAUACGUAGGUGGCAAGCGUUGUCCGGAUUUAUUGGGUUUAAAGGGUGCGUAGGCGGCUUUGUAAGUCAGUGGUGAAAUAUGGCAGCUCAACUGUCAGGGUACCAUUGAUACUGCAGAGCUUGAGUACAGAUGAGGUAGGCGGAAUUGACGGUGUAGCGGUGAAAUGCUUAGAUAUCGUCAAGAACACCGAUAGCGAAGGCAGCUUACUGGGCUGUAACUGACGCUGAGGCACGAAAGUGUGGGGAUCAAACAGGAUUAGAUACCCUGGUAGUCCACACUGUAAACGUUGAUGACUCGCUGUUGGCGAUACACAGCCAGCGGCAGAGAGAAAUCGUUAAGUCAUCCACCUGGGGAGUACGCCGGCAACGGU
RNAcentral lists this ribosomal RNA (372 nucleotides) under uncultured bacterium. Its description in RNAcentral is "bacterial SSU rRNA". It matches the Rfam family "Bacterial small subunit ribosomal RNA", at positions 521 to 895 of the family's 1533-position model. The record is from RNAcentral.